Molecule: long non-coding RNA, 1113 nt
Organism: Salvia splendens (bonfire salvia)
Lineage: Eukaryota; Viridiplantae; Streptophyta; Magnoliopsida; Lamiales; Lamiaceae
Exons: 3
Source: RefSeq, a predicted model, not a curated record
UCAUUCUUCCACUUGGGUGGUUUCUCAAAUCUUCCCACAUACGUCAUUUUUGAGUUCAUUUGCUCUCAAACCCUUGCUGCAAAUUCAAUUGUGCAUCUCAGUUGCAUCUCAGGUCUUUUGCGACAUUGGAUCUCUGCCUAGCACUGCAUACACACAAACAUAUCCGUUGCAAUCCUCCUGAAUUUGAGCAUUGGACCCUGGCAAUGGAUCUACUGCUCGUCCAAACAAUUAUCCAGAAAAAGAAAGAAAUGCAGUGGGGAAAGAAAGUUGUACCAGACCAUUUCAUACAUGAUUGAUGCCACCGUAGCUAUUCAAAAGGAAUUUGGAUGUGGGGUAACUUAGGCUGAGAUGUACGAGAGGUUCCUGCAUCUUGAGAGCAGGUAUAACCGAUGACACUUUGUAGGAAACUGAGGCAAAUGUUGUGGUAGCUCCUCACCAAGUGUGGCGAGAGAUUUUUAAGGUAUGCAACACUAUAAUUAAUUCACUAUUCCCACAGAAAAAUAACCUAGCUGAGGCUUACUACCACCCAUCUACAAUGAGCUUGUAACUCUUUUCGGUGAUGAGCAAGCGAAGGUUGGGGAAGAUGAGCCAACUUUAAUCAUUAGUGAUAAAGCUCCUCUGCAUGCUCCACUUAUCUCACCGCUUCAAGCUUGGAGUGAAGAAGUGAACUCCCCUGUAUGGCCAGUUAAGGAGAAAGCACGACGUAAACUGUUCGUGGACCCCAAUCAUGAUAGUGAUCGAUGUUCGACCAAUGAAAAAGAAAUCCAUUCCCAACGGCCAAAUGGAAAUCAAAGUCGUCGGACUCCUGCAAAUGAAGAGCUCAGAGGUUGCAUCUAAGCCAUACUAUUCACCCCAAGGAAGCUCGUGUGCAUCCUCCAGUCCUAUCGGGUGGAGGGCGAAUCUGGAUCCCUGAACCUAGGUGGAUGGUUUUUGUCUGCAUCUCAAGAAAGUCUGUGCUUUUACUUCUCUAUAGCCUAUCCUCAACUUAUGUUUAGUUUUUUGGCUAGUUGCUUGGAUGUGCUAUAUAUGUUAUUAACGCUACUUGGAUGUGUGUUGUAUAUAUUAUGAAUGUAGUUUGGACGUGUGCUAUAUAAUGUAUUUUGGUGGUCAGAA